Molecule: transfer RNA, 73 nt
Filed under: Paullinia meliifolia
Lineage: Eukaryota; Viridiplantae; Streptophyta; Magnoliopsida; Sapindales; Sapindaceae
Description: partial tRNA-Leu
Source: RNAcentral
UCGAAAUCGGGUAGACGCUACGGACUUAAAAUCCGUCGACUUUAGAAAUCGUGAGGGUUCAAGUCCCUCUAUC